RNAcentral lists this ribosomal RNA (551 nucleotides) under uncultured Glomeromycotina. Its description in RNAcentral is "SSU rRNA". It matches the Rfam family "Eukaryotic small subunit ribosomal RNA", at positions 548 to 1098 of the family's 1831-position model. The record is from RNAcentral. Lineage: Eukaryota; Fungi; Glomeromycota.
UUGGAGGGCAAGUCUGGUGCCAGCAGCCGCGGUAAUUCCAGCUCCAAUAGCGUAUAUUAAAGUUGUUGCAGUUAAAAAGCUCGUAGUUGAAUUUCGGAACCCAUCCGUCGGUCGGGCUUCACGGUCCGCACUGGUGUGAUGGAUUCCUACCUUCUGAAUAACCAGCAUGCUACUAAUUUGGUGCGUUGGGGAAGCAGGACUGUUACCUUGAAAAAAUUAGAGUGCUUAAAGCAGGCUAGUGCCUGAAUACAUUAGCAUGGAAUAAUGAAAUAGGACGGCAUGGUUCUAUUUUGUUGGUUUCUAGGAUCACCGUAAUGAUUAAUAGGGAUAGUUGGGGGCAUUAGUAUUCAAUUGUCAGAGGUGAAAUUCUUGGAUUUAUUGAAGACUAACUUCUGCGAAAGCAUUUGCCAAGGAUGUUUUCAUUAAUCAAGAACGAAAGUUAGGGGAUCGAAGACGAUCAGAUACCGUCGUAGUCUUAACCAUAAACUAUGCCGACUAGGGAUCGGACGAUGUUGAUUUUUUAAUGACUCGUUCGGCGCCUUACGGGAAAC